RNAcentral lists this ribosomal RNA (468 nucleotides) under uncultured bacterium. RNAcentral's name for it is "partial 16S ribosomal RNA". It matches the Rfam family "Bacterial small subunit ribosomal RNA", at positions 28 to 507 of the family's 1533-position model. The record is from RNAcentral.
GACGAACGCUGGCGGCGUGCUUAACACAUGCAAGUCGAACGGAAAGGCCCUGCUUUUGUGGGGUGCUCGAGUGGCGAACGGGUGAGUAACCCGUGAGUAACCUGCCCUUGACUUUGGGAUAACUUCAGGAAACUGGGGCUAAUACCGGAUAGGAGCUCCUGCUGCAUGGUGGGGGUUGGAAAGUUUCGGCGGUUGGGGAUGGACUCGCGGCUUAUCAGCUUGUUGGUGGGGUAGUGGCUUACCAAGGCUUUGAAGGGUAGCCGGCCUGAGCGGGUGACCGGCCACAUUGGGACUGAGAUGCGGCCCAGACUCCUACGGGAGGCAGCGGUGGGGAAGAGUGCACUAUGGGCGGAAGCCUGGUGCAGCAACGCCGCGUGCGGGAUGAGGGCCUUCGGGUUGUAAACCGCUUUCGCCUGUGACGAAGCGUGAGUGACGGUAAUGGGUAAAGAAGCACCGGCUAACUACGUG